Molecule: long non-coding RNA, 1185 nt
Filed under: Brassica napus (rape)
Lineage: Eukaryota; Viridiplantae; Streptophyta; Magnoliopsida; Brassicales; Brassicaceae
Description: long non-coding RNA (BNAP_LNC012551)
Source: RNAcentral
UGGACAACAAUGCCAAAUAGGAGGUUCUCUUGGCAAGUCAAUAAACUACUGAAGCUGAGCCCUUUGCUUUAUCAGUGGAUCAAAUUGCGAGUCUCCAAUGGAAUUAACUGUCGAUUUUGGACUGAUAACUGGUCUUCUCUUGGCAGUAUGAGGCAGUAUCUCCAACUAGGAAACACUUCACUAGGGAUUUCAGAGCAGGCAACUCUGGCUACCCUCUACACUAAUGGUGGUUGGCAGAUACCCCCUGCUCGCUCUGAGACACAAGUUCAGGUUCACGCCAUUCUCACUACUCUGCACCUAAACGAAGAAGAUGAUUAUUAUGUCUGGGAGAUUGAAGGAAAGACUACAACAAAAUACUCAAUUGGGCAAGUGUAUGAUCACCUGAGGAUUCAUGAAGCUUCAGUUCCUUGGCACCAAUCGGUCUGGAACAAGGGAGGGAUCCCGAGGCAUAGCUUUCUCUCUUGGCUACUAGUGCUGAACAGGUGCCCGACUAGGGACAGAAUCAUAGGUUGGGGCCUUCCUACCUCACCCCUCUGUCUGCUCUGUAAUCUGCAAUGUGAAAGUCGAAACCACCUUUUCUUUGAAUGUCCUUACACCUGGAGUAUCUGGAGUGUCCUUUUCCGGCGGUGUGGAUUUCAACCGGAAAGAGACUGGACUAGAGUACUGGAGCAGCUUCAACGUCAAAACCGAAGAUCUCCGAUUGGUAUCCUCUCCCUACUUUGCUGGCAAUCUUGUCUCUACUGGUCUUGGUCUGAAAGAAAUACAAGAUUGCACCUGAACGUUUUCCGUUCACCUGAUUCGCUUAUCAAACGUAUUGAUAGGCAAAUUAGGGACAGGAUUCUCUCUCUCCGAAGUGCUAACCCCUCAUCUUCCUCGGUCAUGAUGCAGCAAUGGCUGUCCUGAUUCUGUUGUUGUUUUCUGAUCGCUAGCUCCACCACCCCUUUUGCCUCACCGUCACGUCUUUUUUCUCUUCACCGUCACGACUACGGAGUGCGUCUCCUCCUCUUCCCGUUAAUUCCUAUGCUUCCUAGUGGGCCUUAGUUUGAUAUUAACUUAUGAUUCUUGAUUGGGUUGUGUUUGUUGUCUGGGCUGGGCUCUUGCAAGAAAAAACUGAAGCUUUUCAGCUUGUAAACUUUUAUUUUCUCCUUUACGUUUUUAAUAUGAAAAAUCAGUUGCAAAAAAAAA